ACGCUUCCCUCAGCAGCACGUAUACUAAAACUGGACUGAUACAGAGAAAAUUAGCAUGGUCCCUGCACAAGGAUAACAUGCAAAUUCAUGAAGCAUUCCAUGUUUAA
Molecule: small nuclear RNA, 107 nt
Organism: Pongo abelii (Sumatran orangutan)
Lineage: Eukaryota; Metazoa; Chordata; Mammalia; Primates; Hominidae
Source: Ensembl